UAACAUAGAAAGUAGUAGGAAUUGCUCUUAGUACAUCAAGACUCCCUUCCACCCCCCCAACCAGCUCGGGAUUGAAUGAUCUACCUAAAGGAUCUUCAGGGCUGUGUUCGAAAUAUGGAGUCUGGAGAGCGGUUAUCGUCAUCAUCAGCUUCCUCUACUGCAGCUACUUCGUCUCCAGCAUCUUCUACGCCUUCUGUAGCUUCAGCAGUUUCAAAGGGUGGCCUCCCCAGUGGAGCUGCAUCACAGAGUUCUGCCAUCAACGCAUGUGGUCUUAAUAUAGAAAUGAUCUUGUGACUCCUUAAAUAAACUUUGAUGAAGAGCAGAUCUGGUGCCUAAA
Molecule: long non-coding RNA, 337 nt
Filed under: Apteryx rowi (Okarito brown kiwi)
Lineage: Eukaryota; Metazoa; Chordata; Aves; Apterygiformes; Apterygidae
Description: lncRNA (ENSARWG00000018268.1)
Source: RNAcentral